UGCGUAGGCGGUCUUUCAAGCCAGAAGUGAAAGGCUACGGCUCAGCCGUAGUAAGCUUUUGGAACUGUAGGACUUGAGUGCAGGAGAGGAGAGUAGAAUUCCUAGUGUAGCGGUGAAAUGCGUAGAUAUUAGGAGGAAUACCAGUAGCGAAGGCGGCUCUCUGGACUGUAACUGACGCUGAGGCACGAAAGCGUGGGGAGCGAACA
RNAcentral lists this ribosomal RNA (206 nucleotides) under uncultured bacterium. Its description in RNAcentral is "partial 16S ribosomal RNA". It matches the Rfam family "Bacterial small subunit ribosomal RNA", at positions 568 to 774 of the family's 1533-position model. The record is from RNAcentral.